UACGGAGGGGGCUAGCGUUGUUCGGAAUUACUGGGCGUAAAGCGUACGUAGGCGGCUUUGUAAGUUAGAGGUGAAAGCCCGGAGCUCAACUCCGGAAUUGCCUUUAAGACUGCAUCGCUUGAAUCAUGGAGAGGUUAGUGGAAUUCCGAGUGUAGAGGUGAAAUUCGUAGAUAUCGGGAGGAAUACCAGUGGCGAAGGCGCUGACCUGGACGAAGAUUGACGCUGAGGUGCGAAAGCGCGGGGAGCAAACAGG
RNAcentral lists this ribosomal RNA (253 nucleotides) under uncultured bacterium. RNAcentral describes it as "partial 16S ribosomal RNA". It matches the Rfam family "Bacterial small subunit ribosomal RNA", at positions 524 to 776 of the family's 1533-position model. The record is from RNAcentral.